UCCUACACCGCCUCUCACAUUCGAGCCUU
Molecule: small RNA, 29 nt
Filed under: Arabidopsis thaliana (thale cress)
Lineage: Eukaryota; Viridiplantae; Streptophyta; Magnoliopsida; Brassicales; Brassicaceae
Description: ATSL120560
Source: RNAcentral